GGAUCGAGGCCAUCAAGCUACAGAUGGUCUUACAAAUGGAACCCCAAAUGAGCUCAACUAACAACUUCUACUAAGGACCCCUGGGCCAACCCACUGGCCCUUUGACUGGCCUAAAGAGUUCCCCUCUGAAGGACACUACAAUUGCAGGGACCCUUCUUUGCCCCUAUCCAGCAGGAAGUAGCUAGAGCGGUCAUUGUCCAAUUCCCAACUGCAGUUGGGGUGUCCUGUUUAGAGGGGGGAUUGAGAGGUGAAGCCAGCUGGACUUCCUGGGUCGAGUGGGGACUUGGAGAACAUUUCUGUCUAGCUAAAGGAUUGUAAAUGCACCAAUGAGCACUCUGUAAAAAUGCACCAAUCAGCGCUCUGUGUCUAGCUGAAAGAUUGUAAAUGCACCAAUCAGCACUCUGUAAAAACAUACCAAUCAGCGCUCUGUGUCUAGCUAAAGGAUUGUAAACGCACUGAUCAGCACUCUGUAAAAUGGACCAAUCAGCGUUCUGUAAAAUGGACCAAUCAGCAGGACAUGGGUGGGGCCAAACAAGGGAAUAAAAGCUGGUCACCCCAGCCAGCAGUGGCAAGCCACUCGGGUCCCCUUCCACACUGUGGAAGCUUUGUUCUUUUGCUCUUCACAAUAAAUCUUGCUGUUGCUCACUUUUUGGGUCUGCACUACCUUUAUGAGCUGUAACACUCACCACAAGGGUCUGCAGCUUCAUUCCUUGAAGUCAGUGAGUCCACAAAUCCACCAGGAUGAACAAACAACUCCGGAUGCACCACCUUUAAGAGCUGUAACACUCACUGCGAAAGUCUGCGGCUUCACUCCUGAAGUCAGCGAGACCAUGAUCCCACUGGAAGGAAGAAACUCCAGGCACAUCUGAACAUCUGAAGGAACAAACUCCAGACACACCAUCUUUAAGAGCUGUAACACUCACCACGAAGGUCUGCAGCUUCAUUCUUGAAGUCAGCGACAUAAGAACCCACUGGAAGGAAUAAAUUCCGGACACAUCAGCACUAUUCAGAGAGGCUGGAAGGUAGUGGUGCAAUCACAGCUUACUGCAGCCUUUACCUCCUGGCUGAAGUGAUCCUUCCACCUCAGCCUCCUGAGUAGCUGAGACUACAGGUCCAUGGCAGCUGACCUCAGGCUGGUGUCCAUUGG
RNAcentral lists this long non-coding RNA (1147 nucleotides) under Homo sapiens (human). RNAcentral describes it as "HSALNT0310642". Lineage: Eukaryota; Metazoa; Chordata; Mammalia; Primates; Hominidae. The record is from RNAcentral.